RNAcentral lists this long non-coding RNA (211 nucleotides) under Mytilus galloprovincialis (Mediterranean mussel). Lineage: Eukaryota; Metazoa; Mollusca; Bivalvia; Mytilida; Mytilidae. The record is from RNAcentral.
UGGCCUGUUAAUGGAACCCUUCUUGCCCCCUUUUAAGAUAAGAAAAUAUGUUUACGAUUUUCGGGAUUACGAUCAUUUUGCAAGAUCACCAAAAUACGUUGUAAUUUAUACAAUACUUAAUAUAAUGUAGAUGAUGUGGUAUGUUUGUUGUCAAUGGACAAAUGUCCAUAAGAAACCAAAGGAAGUAUGUGUUAACAACCAUACGUCAUCG